CCGGCUCAAACCCUUCCACCGACUGCAGCCGAAACUCCUGCAAAUGCCGCAUAGGUAUAGCCCCGGCCUUGGCCAGGUGCCCCAGCUCGGGCUUAGUCAGCUUCCGGUCGCGGACGCGGCGGUACCCGACCUGGACGGCGUCGUAGCCGUCAGUCGCCUCAGUCUUGACCUGGGUGACGAUGUUGCCCUCACGGAAGCCAACGACGGUGACGGGCACAACGGUGCCCUCCGGCUCGAAGAAGCUCAUCAUGCCGAGUUUCGUGCCCAUGACGCCGACGGCCACCUCCAUGCUCAUGACGGUGACGGAGGGGCGGCGGCGGAUGGGGCGGGCGGCGGGUUUCCAAGAGAGGGAGGUGCGAGAGGUGGG
This 367-nucleotide unclassified non-coding RNA is filed under the name Hevea brasiliensis (rubber tree). Lineage: Eukaryota; Viridiplantae; Streptophyta; Magnoliopsida; Malpighiales; Euphorbiaceae. The record is from RNAcentral.